This 301-nucleotide ribosomal RNA is filed under the name uncultured bacterium. RNAcentral describes it as "partial 16S ribosomal RNA". It matches the Rfam family "Bacterial small subunit ribosomal RNA", at positions 509 to 807 of the family's 1533-position model. The record is from RNAcentral.
CAGCAGCCGCGGUAAUACGAAGGGGGCUAGCGUUGCUCGGAAUCACUGGGCGUAAAGGGUGCGUAGGCGGGUCUUUAAGUCAGGGGUGAAAUCCUGGAGCUCAACUCCAGAACUGCCUUUGAUACUGAAGAUCUUGAGUUCGGGAGAGGUGAGUGGAACUGCGAGUGUAGAGGUGAAAUUCGUAGAUAUUCGCAAGAACACCAGUGGCGGAGGCGGCUCACUGGCCCGAUACUGACGCUGAGGCACGAAAGCGUGGGGAGCAAACAGGAUUAGAUACCCGCGUAGUCCCUGUCUCUUAUAC